CUGAGUAAUCUUCUGAGACGAGUGAGUGGGGAAGGGAAGAGGUCUGGUUGACUCCCCUGCCGUGAAGGGAUUCCCCGUCACUGGAAAGGAGAGGGCUCCACCAGGGAAACAUACUGAGAGCCAGCGCUCGCUGAUGAGCUAAGCAGGAGAAAGCUGCAGAUUCAUCCCUACUCAUCCAUUGGCCCUGCUAAUUAGGCAGAAACACUGGGGGACAACUGGUUUUCUAAUAGGAAGACAACUAUCCAACAUGGUCCUCACUAGAAAGUUGUGUAAGGAGUUGGGUAUCUUGCCAGAUACGCCACUUAGCCCCCCGGGACCUGGAAAGAGACAAAGUAAAAUUAUAAAUUACUUCCCCAAGAGGGAGGAAUGCAUGAGUGAACAAAUUGAACCAAUUAUUGACGAAGUCACUCCUCUCCCCUUACUUACCUUGACCGGUCACAUUACUUCAAAGAGCUUCAACACAACUCUGGAAACACAAAUUCCCCAAGAAGCCUGGCGCAAGAGCUAGUUCUAGCUGAGAAACCUGUGGAAAAUAUUUCUGUCACCUAUAACCAGCGGCCCCUGGCAGAAUUAACAACAUGCCACCAAGACCAGGCGCCCACUUCCAAAUAUACUCAAACUGAACUGAGUGAUGGCCAUCUUCAGGCCCAUUUCCAAGAUAUAAAUAUAGACCUUUCCAACAUAAAAAAUUACUUGACAAUAACAAAUGGGUUAUUGCUGACCCUUGUGGAAAAUUUUAUUCCCCAACCAAAAGAGACAACAGCAACCGAUGCACCCCAAGUGCAUAAACCAGAUGAACUUGUGCAUAACCCAGAUGAACUAGUGAAGAUGAGACAAGCAGUAACAACCAAGAAAUUGCAAAAAAAUAGAUCAAAAGUCCGGGAAAAGAAAACUAAGAACAUUAAAACAACAAGGAAAAUAAAGAUAAGCCGACAUAAACAAUGGCAGAAAUUAUUUAAUCUACUCCCAUUGGACUCAAAUAAAUCUGCUGCACGAGAUAAAAAAGAGAAUGGCAGGAAGGGGAAAAGAAGCCAUCGCCAAAGCUAAUGGCUAAGGUGGCAUCUCUGAACCAGAAUUCAGAACUAAGUGGGAGGACGGAAGCAACGUCCCAGAGUUCUGGUAACAGUUCACUCAGCGAACCAGAUUCUGGGGGAGAAGUGGUCCCUAACAAUGAAGGCAGCAAACCGCUUAGCAAAUCGGGAAAUGGGGACGAUGCAAUGCCCAAUCGCGAUGACAACACUAUACAAGAUGGGCAAACCUUUAUUCAGGCAAGAUGUUGGAACCUGAUUUUAAAUCCCUCAAUAUUAGUAUUUACAAACUUCCCAAAAUCAAAGGGCUUCCUUACAGGGAAAGAACGAAGAAUGAGCUCCUUGAACGUUCUGAAUGAUAUAUUGCCAGGAGCAGUAAAGCCAUAUGACAUUAUUUCUGUAGAUUAUUUGCAUCAUGAUGGUUGUUCAAUGAGAGCAAUGAUCACAUUUAGAGACCAGAACCUGGCCAAGUUUAUCUACAGAUCAAGAUAUAUAUUCUUAAAGGCCCAGAUAAAAAUUCUCAGAUUUUUUGAAAACAAGGCACCACCGAAUCCCCUUCUGGAAGCCAAGCACGCAAACCCUAGUAAGGAGAAACAACCUCCCAAAACCCGGCCUGGUCUCCAGAAACGAGAGCUUCAAAAAUUAAAAAGGAAAGAUGCCCACCUGCAAGACCUGCAACUUCAAGAGAAUGAAGAUGAGGAUCUUUUUUCCGCGGAAGAAAAUACCUUAAUUAGGCAAUUUCGCCAUUUUCCAUCUCCAAUACAAGCUGAAAUAUUAGAAAGAUUGGAUAUGCUAAGAAUUAAGCUGGCUGGGAGAGAUACAAACAAGGAAAUCAAUAUGGACGCCCUUAAAAAGGACCAGACUUCCUAUAAUUUGAACCCUACACAAGAACCAAACCCAGCGGCCUGUCGGCCAUGUUACCUUCAGACAAUGGCUGAGAUUAAUUUACUCCCAAUUAAGGAAGCCCAGCACACUGAAGAGAACACUACACCACCUCCAAUAAAGAGAACCAUCCCGAAGGUGAAUUCACCAGGCUCUUGGGACAAGCUGAGGUAUCUAGAUGAGGCGGAAUUAGGCCACAAUCAGGUUCCGGAAAAACACCUACGGAAAGAGAUAACACACUUCAAAGGCCCGGUGACCACUAAUGUCAGUAUUCAACAGUUAACAGCCGAAACUAUAGAACAUUUGGCUAGUUUGCCAUGUAUGGAGAGCAAUGGGCCGGCUCAUAAAAAAGUAAUCCCUAAAAGCACCUUGGGAAAUAAUUGACAAAGAUUAGACCAGAGACAAACACCAGCCGGCUCCCUAUCUCCGCGGAAAUCCGAUAUCAUUAGAUACGAACAGACUCAACCCUCACUCACAAAUCAAGCAAAAGCAGUUGUUUCCUUGAAAGACGCACCCAACCUACCCCAGAGCCUUAAAAUUGUCUCCUGGAAUGUUAACGGCUGGGCGACAAAGCAAAUGGAUCCUGAAGCAAUGAAUCUCAUCUCUUCUUUCGACAUUGUAUGCCUCCAAGAGACCUGGUCCCAACAAAGUAUUGUUCUCCCAAAUUAUUGCUCCUUUAGCUCCUGUGCUCGUAAACUAACCAACAGGGGUCGCCCCCAAGUUGGCCUCGCCUGUCUUAUUUCAACCAGCUUACCCCUCACUAUUUGCGAGGAAAUUAAAUCUUCCCCUUACUUUCUCACCAUAAAGAUUCAUCUCCCAAAGACCAAAAGCCCAUGGUUGAUAACUACAGUAUAUCUGCCCCCAGCAAUUAAUGAUUUCGACCGCAAUGAAAGGUGGUCUGAACUUUCGUCUUGGCUCCAUGAUCUCCAAACAACUAACCCAGGACUCCCUCAAAUCCUCUUAGGCGACUUUAAUGCAAGAAUAGGUCCCAACGACGAUGAUAUAAUAUCUCCCGCAGCACUCCUGGACAAUCCCCUGCAGCCCCCCUGGGGAAACAGAUGCUCUCUUGAUCCUAUAACAAAUGCGUCGGGAGGCUGAUGGCCCAACUGGCCAUGGAAAACGAUCUCUGCAUCGCAAAUGGUAACAUUACUCCCUUGUCCUCGCAGCAAUUAACGUGCAUCACUUCCCGGGGAACCAGUGUUGUCGACUACAUUUUAUUGACGCCGGAGCUAUUCUCAAUUUCUACAAAAAUGGAAGUGGCUGAAUAUUUUGGUGGUGACCACCUUCCAUUGACUCUAAUGUUAAACCUAAUAGAGCCACUCCCAGUCUCCUCAAACUAUAGAACCAUGGUACAAAGCCACCCUGUAUACAAAACAAAGAAAUGGACAAGCCUCAGCUCCUCUCUUGCCCUGGACAUACAAAAAUCAUUUGAUAUGUCUGCAGUUCCCUCUGAUCCAAUCCUGCCCGCUGACCAAUACCGGAAAUUACUUGAUGCUUUCUCAACAACUUACAUAACCACCACCUCGCCUACUUACCAACGCCUCUUCUCUGAAUCGCCCUGGUUUGACAAGGAAUGUAAAGCCCUAAGAAGGCGAAUUAGGAAAAUGGUCAGAAUCAUCAAAUCUUCCAACGACCCCCAAACCCGUGCAAAGCUCAUAGAUAUUAAAAGGACAUAUAGAAACAUGAUUCAUUGCAAGAAACAGCAGUACAUCUUUGAGGCUUGGUCCACUCUUCGUUCGGCUGUAGAGAGGCAUGACUCCCGCUCCUUCUGGCGCCUAGUUAGACCUUCGGCACCAUUCAAUCCAGCUACCCAGAUUUCCGCGGAUGAAUGGAUUGCUUAUUAUUCAACUAGUUUCGCUUCUCCAAACCAUCUUACAGAUCUCCUUCAAUCCCCAUUGGACCUCAGUUCCUGCUCUCUUAGUCCCACUUCUUCAAUAAACUUUACUUCAACUCGCAUUUUCAACAUCAUAAUGUCAAUGCAAAGGAAUAAGGCCCCCGGCCCAGACAUGGUCCCGUUGGACCUUUUCCUGACUGAUCCUCUUUGGUGGAGCGAACACCUGACUCCUGUAUUCACCGCUAUCUCCUCCGCCCUAGACAUCCCCGACUCCUGGAGAGAAGCUAUAAUAGUUCCGAUCUUCAAAGGCGGCCAGCCAAACAUCCCUAGGAACUAUCGCCCCAUCAGCUUAUUAUCCAUCCCGUGGAAAAUAUUUGCCGCUGUUUUACUGGAGGAACUUCUCUCAUGGGUCCAGGAGAGGAACAUUCUACCGCUAGAACAGAUUGGUUUCCGAAAGUCAGCGUCAACCAUGGACCAUUGUCUAACUCUCUUUCACCUUGCCAGUAAAUACACUGCUCCAAGGCAAGGCCACCUAUUUGCCGCUUUCAUGGACCUGGAGGCCGCCUUUGAUUCCAUUCCUAGGCAGAGAUUAUGGUCCAAACUUGCCCAUCUGGGAAUUGAUCCGCACCUUCUCUCCCUAAUUAUCUCCCUUUAUUCAAACACCACAGCUCGCGUCCGAACUAGUCCAAACGGCUCCCCCACUACUCCAUUUCCAACGGCCAAGGGCGUCCGACAAGGUUGCCUCUUGGCCCCUUUACUGUUUAAUCUCUAUCUUCAUGAUGCAAUUUCCACUUUGAAGCUAGCAUCUAAGUAUCCUCCUCACUUAGCAGGCCACCCCGUUGCUUCCCUUUUCUAUGCUGAUGAUGCCGUCAUCUUAUCCAGAACAGCUGCGGAUCUAGCAAAUGCAGUUAAUGCAUUUAUCGCCUAUUGUAAGGCGGAAGCUCUUAAUAUUAAUUAUAAAAAAUCGAAAGUCCUCCACUUCACUCGUUCCCGCAAACUCAAGUUGGAGCCGCUUAAGAUCACAGGUGGCUACUUAGAAAAGGUAAAAGCCUUUAAAUAUUUAGGAUUAAUAUUCACCUAUAAUCUCUCCUGGACCACCCAUCUACAAUCUGCCUUUCUCGCUGCAACCACGACCUCUAACGCCAUUGUCCGAUUUUACCACCAGAAGGGCGGCAAACACCUUCCAGCAGCAAUUCAAAUAUUUAAUGCCAAAGUCGUCCCUAAAUUAUUAUAUGGAUGUGAAGUAUGGACUACAGCAAUAUCAGGUAACCUGGAUCGUCCACUUCAUAUGUUUCUGAGAUCUCUUUCCGGCGUCCCGAGAUGUGUCUCAGGUGCAGCCCUACGACUCGAGUUCGCCCAGCCUUCAAUUGCUAGACGAGCAUGGAGCCGAGCCAUUUCCUACACCCUCCACCUAUUAGCAUCGGAUGCUCGAAUUAGAGGUGGCUUUUCCAAUCUGAUCCUAAGAGAUAUUCAUAAUUCCCCUUGGAAAACUACAAUUAACCUCAAAUUCCGCUCUCUUCUCAAUCUGAAUUGUAAAACUGUUCUUAACUUAGAGUGUAUCAGCCCGGUGGCCCUACCCCUAAUUAAAAAGAAACUACAGCAACUUGACUUCUCCAACACAGCUUCUUGUGCAAGAGGACCGUGUUCAGGCCUAGCCCUAGCUAUUCCACCCCCUGAAGGGAUCCCUCUAUACUGCUUCACAAUUUCUUCGGAGACUAAGCGAAGGGCUUUUACCUGUGCCCGUCUCAACUGUUUUCCUACAGCAGUUCUGUCGGGUCGUUAUUCCAGAGUUCCCAUCGCAAACAGAACAUGCUCCUGUAAUGACACGGCCCUGGAGACUAUGGAACAUGUAAUGCUCUUCUGUCCCAACUGGACAGAUGAAAGAUCUCGGUUUUUAACUCCCCUCGUGAAUAAGUUCCAUCUCCCAAUCCAGCCUUGGAUAGUGUCCCUCUUUUUGCAGGAUUCUGAUUGUUGGAUUACUGAGAUGACAGCUAAUUUCCUGCUUAGUGUGAUGAAGAGGAAAGCGGCACUAACUUCUUCCUUAACACCACAGAUGCAGUCGAUACGCCGCACAACCGAACGAAGUUCCAAGUAGCCUUAUUGUACAAGGACAAUCGAGUUAGGACUAAUCUGAGGAGCUGAAGGACCCUUUAACGGUCCUCCUCCAGCCUCAGCAGCUUUUGUUUUUUUUUUUGUUUUUUUUCACUUUCUUUAAGUAUUCGCCCAGGACGAUGUCUACCUCUACCUCCCCACCCCCAUUUUAUGUUGUUAUUUCAAUGUAUAUCAUGCUAUGGCCACUCGGCUAAUGCAAUAAAUAAAU
Podarcis lilfordi (Lilford's wall lizard) is the source of this 6064-nucleotide non-coding RNA. The record is from the annotation of a GenBank genome assembly. NCBI's taxonomy places the organism in Eukaryota, Metazoa, Chordata, Lepidosauria, Squamata, Lacertidae.